Molecule: long non-coding RNA, 617 nt
Organism: Phyllopteryx taeniolatus (common seadragon)
Lineage: Eukaryota; Metazoa; Chordata; Actinopteri; Syngnathiformes; Syngnathidae
Exons: 3
Source: RefSeq, a predicted model, not a curated record
CACGUAUGUGGCUAACAAGACCCGCGGCAGACGACAAGCUUCACUCCCGAGCGAGCGCACGAGGUGUUGGCUGUGCUUCAUAAACAAAUGACAAUUAGGCCUUUAGCCUAAUUAAUAAUUCAUUAUUCAGCUUGUGAAUUAUUUACCUAAAUUGAUGGCCUUCCUGCAUCCCUGGAUACAAACAACAAGCUCUCUUGCCUGGCAGCUCCAUCCUCAUCAUCCUUCUACCAACAUGCUCACUAUUUCUCCUCUGGACGUGUCCAAACCAUCCAAGUCUGCUCUCUCUAACUUUGUCUCCAAAAGAUCGAACCUCGGCUGUCCCUCUGAUGAGCUCUUUUCCAAUGGUAUCCAACCUGGUGACUCCGAGAGCAUCUAGAGCAUCAACAUUGUCAUGUGCUCUGCUUCCUGUUGUCUCUUCAGUGCCACCGCAGAUCACAAUGUCAUCUGCGAACAUCAUGGCCUGUAAUGGUGGUUUGAGAAAAAACUAAAAUAUUUUUACUUUGAAAGGUGUGACAAUGCAUGUCCAUCUACCACUUAGCUGCAUUAUUAUUUUUUUUAAAACUUUUUACACGGUUGCAAAGUGAUAUUCACAUCAAUACAAAGAGACUUGCAAUCAG